GAAGGAUCAUUAACGAGUUCUUGAACAGGUUGUCGCUGGCCCUUUACAGGGUAUGUGCACACCUGGCUCAAUUUCCACUCUUAACCUCUGUGCACUCUUUGUAGGUCGGUUGAUGCUGGCGCAAGUCAGUUUGAAGCCUUCCUAUGUUUUAUUACAAACGCUUCAGUUAUAGAAUGUUUACUUUGCUAUAACGCAAAUAUAUACAACUUUCAGCAACGGAUCUCUUGGCUCUCGCAUCGAUGAAGAACGCAGCGAAAUGCGAUAAGUAAUGUGAAUUGCAGAAUUCAGUGAAUCAUCGAAUCUUUGAACGCACCUUGCGCCCCUUGGUAUUCCGAGGGGCAUGCCUGUUUGAGUGUCAUGGAAUUCUCAUCCCCUAAAGUUAUUUUUGGUGGGCUUGGAUGUGGAGGUUGUGCCGGUUUGUUAAAAGCCGGCUCCUCUGAAAUGCAUUAGUGUGAAUCUUACUGAUCGCCUUCAGUGUGAUAAUUGUCUACGCUGUGGUUGUGAAGUAAAUUA
Molecule: ribosomal RNA, 513 nt
Filed under: fungal endophyte
Lineage: Eukaryota; Fungi
Description: eukaryotic LSU rRNA
Rfam family: 5.8S ribosomal RNA (bases 205-358)
Source: RNAcentral